RNAcentral lists this ribosomal RNA (309 nucleotides) under uncultured bacterium. RNAcentral describes it as "partial 16S ribosomal RNA". It matches the Rfam family "Bacterial small subunit ribosomal RNA", at positions 1 to 334 of the family's 1533-position model. The record is from RNAcentral.
AGUAAACGUUCAGAGUUUGAUCCUGGCUCAGGACGAACGCUGGCGGCAUGCCUAACACAUGCAAGUCGAGGGGCUCUUCGGAGUCACUGGCGCACGGGUGAGUAACACGUAGGUCAUCUACCCCUAUCACAGACAUAACCCCGGGAAACCGGGGCUAAUAUCUGAUGAGGUCGCGAGAUCAAAGCUUAGGCGGAUAGGGAUGAGCCUGCGGCUGAUUAGCUAGUUGGUGAGGUAAUGGCUCACCAAGGCGACGAUCAGUAGCUGGUCUGAGAGGACGAACAGCCGCACUGGAACUGAGACACGGUCCAG